RNAcentral lists this long non-coding RNA (1351 nucleotides) under Equus asinus (donkey). Its description in RNAcentral is "lncRNA (ENSEASG00005029185.1)". The record is from RNAcentral. Lineage: Eukaryota; Metazoa; Chordata; Mammalia; Perissodactyla; Equidae.
UGAAGGAGGUGACACAAAGAAUGGAAAGGCUGUGGACGGCGGGUGGAGAGGAGCAAGGGCGGGCGAACUUUCACGCCAGUGUGUUGGCUGGGGAGCAGCUUCCCAAGGAGCAGACUGGGGAUGUUCAUUUUGUGGCUCCCUUGUAAGACACCUAUCUUUUGGAUGUACUGGUGUAAUUGUCUGGAGCAGAUUUUUCAAGGAAUGUGGUAAAGCACAGAUCAUAGCUGAGACUACUGUGUGGCCAUAUGUUAACUAAACCGAAAGGGAAGCAGUUUGCAAAGCUCUCAGCUGGGGAGCUCUGUAUUUGAAUGAUUCUUCCCCCAGCAGAGCCCCCAGUAACUCCCGGUCUGUCCCCAGGUUACCUGGCGGUUCCCAGGUGACGAGGACCCCGCUUCUGUUGCUUCCCGCCUGAUCUUCCGGGCGUGAUGGUCUCUCUGCCUCCUCACAGAAUCCUUCCUGUAGUUGAAAUUUGGUUUUCUCUGAGUCCUCUGCAGCGCUUGAAUGGUGUGUGGCAUUGACUUACUGUUAGAAUGAAUCAUUUAAAAUGCAUUUUAUCCCGGUGUUUAUGUACCAAACAGAUUUUGUUGUCUGUCUUUUUUGCUAGAGUUUGAGAGCUCUAACAUCUUAUUAAACGAUAGCCUAGGAAGGCAGGCUGUUACGUUGAGAUUGUUAUGGACUGAAUGCUAUGUUCCCUCGGAAUUUGUAUGUUGAAUUCCUAAGCCCCAGUGUGACUGCAUUUGGAGGUGGGGCCUCGAGGGUAAAUGCAGCCUUAAGGGUGGGGCCCUAAUCUGGUAGGAUUAGUGUCCUUGUAAGGAGAGAGGCCCGGGAGGGAGCUUGGAGCAAACGCGUGUGAGGAAGCGGUGAGAAGGCGUGGUUCGCAAACCGGAAGAGAGCGCUCACCAGGGGCGGAGUCGGCUGGAGCCUUGAUCCGGACCUUCAUCCUCCAGGACCCGGAGAGAGUAAAUGUUGCUGGAUGUGCCCAGUCUAUGGUGUUUGUUGUGGCAUCCCGAACAGACUCAUACGGAGAGAUGAGGCAGGAAGACAGAGGAAGUCACACACAACCAAACUGGUGUACAGUAAAAUAAGGAUCUCACACUGCUUUUUCUGUACAGUGUGCAGAUAUGGCUACAAUGAUGGUGAAAUUGAGUGAAAAAAUCAUAUAGGAUCUCAGUGUAUGAAGGUUUCACUGUUACUAUACAACUGUAAGGGAUUUUUUUCUUCUUUUUUUUUUCCCCCCUAAAUAUUCUUCUCCCCAAAGCCCCCAGUACAUAGCUACAUAUUUUAGUUGUGGGUCCUUCUAGUUGUGCUGUGUGGGACGCUGCCGCAGCAUGGCCUGAUGAGCGGUGCCAUG